UAAAAUAAUGAAGUGUUAAUAUUCAAAGUCAACUCGUGACUAUUCAAAGCUCAAAAUCUUAUUUUUGUGAGAAGUGUUGGUGCACAGCUUGGAAACAACACACACUUUGGGAACAGAGAUCUGGGUUUGAAUCCCACCUCUACUGUAUACUAGAUAUUUGACCUGAUGGAUGACACACUACUUUUCUAAACAUCAAUGUCCUCAACUGUGAAAUGGAUUUAGAACACUUUUCUCACAGAGUUGUAUUUACUAAGCUAAUGUCUAUAUAGCUUUCCCUCUACACAUGCUACAUAGGAAACAUUUUGAACUAAUAGCCAUUUUUAUUGGGAUUCAUACUAUUUCCAUGAAUCAGUUCAUAUCAUGCAUUCUCUCAUAAGCCUUUCUUGACUACCUUUAGCUCAACUCCCACAAACUUAUCUUAUCCAGGGAAGAAGCAACAGCUGAGGAAACAGGAUCUCAAAAUACAGAAAAGGUCUCAAAAUAUUAGUAUCUGGAAAAUUAGUCAAAAUCUCUGGGGGAGGCCUUGGAAGUCCAUUGGAAUCAGAAGUUUUAAAACAAUUUAUGGGGCAAGAAAGGAUUUCUCUCACAUUUGCGUUAAAAUUAUUUCUUUAAAAAGCACUUUGAUGUAAACAUUUGCAAAAUGGUUUUUGAAAAACCUGCUGCUUUUCAGAAAUCCAGCUACUGAGUCAAUCAAGUGAAAGUGCAGAUACUAAAUUUACUGACUUGUUAUUAGGCACAUCUGAGUUCGUGUCCCAGUUCUUCCGCUUAUGAGCUGGAAGCUUGGAUAAUUUGCUUGACAGCUUCAUCAUUCAGUUUCCUCAUCUGUAAAACUUGACUUUAAGAGAAAGAACUAUCUCUAAUGGGGAAAAAAUAUAUAUUUUAAGGACCAGCCGUCAAAGGUGGGCCUCAGGAGGCUUUGCAGAUAGGCCAUGACCAAAGUCAAAAAGGAGGCAAUCUAUGCUCCACCCAAGAGAGAAAAGGGAAUUGGAGGCUGCCAGGAUGAUGGAGAAGGGAAGGAAUGGAGAACCCCUUUGUAUUUAUGUUUUUAUAAGGCCCUCACAGACUGGGUCUUGAUCAGCCUCAGUUAAGUUGUUUCCCUCGCCAAGGCUGAUAUCAUUUUUCCUGACUAGACCUUCACCCAACAGCAGCAGGUGACUGAUAGCAAAGUUAGUUUACUAAGUUGGUUAGUAAUUGCAAAAUACAUGUGCUACUUCUUGAUUCAGGUGGCCUCACUGGAUUAUUCUUCAAUCAUGAUUCCACCUUGAUGUCAGCGAAGGACCUGGGAAACAUACACAUCUACAGAACAUAUUUCAGGUCCUCACCCGUUUCACCUCUUGGCUCGAAUGGCUCCUUCUCUGAGAGGCCUUCACCAACCACAAAAUAGAGGCCUCCACCUCACACCACUUCCUAGUCCUUUAGUCUGUUUUAUCUUUAUUCACAGCACUUAGCAUUUCCUGAUAGUUUAUAAUAUAUUUAUUUGUUUAUCCGUAUGACCCUUUGCAAUGUACGUUUCAUAGGAACAGGGACUUUGUUUAGUUUUCAGUGUACCCAGUGGUGUGCUGGUACAUUUAGCAACCAACUCUCUAGAAAAGAGAGAAAAAAAGCCAUGACUGGUUUCCAUGGUGUAAAGACUCCAACUAUGCCCAAUUUCAAGCCACGAAUAUGAUGUCACAAAAUGCAGGCUUGGAAAGAGAUGCAGAAAUUCACCCUUGCAAGAUGGUGCAAGCCAGCUCUAGAAAACUUCCGGCUUCUAGGACAGUGCCUUCCUUACGGUAGGUACUGAGAAAUUGAGCAAUUCACAAUAGAAUGGAUAUGGCAGCAGCUUCAAAAUUUACAAAAUAGUUGAUUAUGAUCACAUGCUACACCCUCGACUUGCUGAUGGGGCAGCGUGGAUUCAACCAGGAAUGUCCUCCUUCCUGAAUGGAUGAUGAUGGGGCAAACACAGCGUUCCAGUCACUAGACAUGUACCUCCUAUGCAGGUGGGCACACAAGACAGCUGACUAAGGGAAGAAAUGCAUGAGAAAUUUGCAAAGAGGGAAAGCCAAGAGCACCUGUAGUGUUCUGGAGGUAGCUGCACACUGACAUCCCUUCACACCCAGUGGCCUCUUGUGAAAGAGAAGGCAAUGCAAUGCCGUCGGAGACAAAGCCCAGCUGAAGAGAGGCAGUGCACUUGCUGAUGGAUACUAAAUGAAAAGCAGGCAGAAAUCAGCAAUGCAUCCAGCUUCUGUUGAGGGAGAUUCAGUGGAAUGAUUUUUAUAUUUUCAUGAAGAAAUUACAGUUGAAUAUUAAAACCUGGUAUUUCAGUUUAUCUGGUCUGACUCCCAUCUAACUAACCAACAUAGCCAUGGAUUUUGUAAAACUCACUUAGCAAAUCAUCUUAAUUGGUACCAAAAAAGUGAUGGCUAUGGAAAUAUUGGCAUUUCUAUGUGCAUAACUGAUGUUUUUAUGAGGAUAAGAGGGAGAGAAGAAUCACAUUUCAAAGAAGCUUCUACUGAAAUAAACUAACCAGAAGAACUAAUUGUGGCAUACUUAACAGCUUUGAGCUUUAUGUGUACACUACCUAUGUUUCCUGUUCAGCAAGUGAAUGUCCCCAGGCCGGUAGGGGCAAUGUGAAGAUGAAUCUUAUAUCUCCAAUUUCUCGAAGAACAUUUAUUCAUCUUCCUGGAAUUCACUCAUUGCCAGUUCUUUUAGAAAUACUGACACAGUUAAUAGUGUCUAAUGUCGUGGAUGACUGCCUUCCACCGAUGUCGUGACUUCCCACCCAAGAACCAAUGACUUCUUUCUCUGUGAUUCAGCUCUCCACUGACCCUCAUGGGCAAGAGUGGGGUUUCAGCAAUUAUUCUUUCAACCUCUAUUGAUUAAUCACACGAUAUAAGCCAGACACAGUUCUGGGCAGCAGGAUACAAUAGUGAACAAGACAACCCCAAAUCCCUGCUCUUGUGGAACUGACAUUUUCUCAUGGGGUGUGGGGGUUGGGGAAGAAUGAGAGAUGUUAAAUGCAAAACCAAAAUAAAAGAAAUUUUAAGAUCAUGUGAUAGGGAGUGGCUGGCUGGUCAGGGAUAGCCUCUCCAGGACUGGGACAUUCAUGGGAGUUGACAUGUGAAUUAUGAGAAGAAGCCGACAAUGCCAAGAUCACAUGGCAACACGUUUCAUGCAAAAGAAACAGCCAGCAUGAAGCCUGUGAGCUGGGAACAAGACCGGCUCAGGUCAAGGGACAGACAAAAAGGCCAACAAGGCUGAAAAAGAAUAAGGAAGAGGAGAGGGGUGUGAGGUUCAGCAGGAAAGAUCUGAAGGACUGGGUCAGACAGGGUUCUUCAGGACAUGGAAAAGAAUUUGAAUUUUUUAAAUAAAUGCAAUGAGAAGACA
Molecule: long non-coding RNA, 3366 nt
Organism: Homo sapiens (human)
Lineage: Eukaryota; Metazoa; Chordata; Mammalia; Primates; Hominidae
Exons: 4
Source: RefSeq, a predicted model, not a curated record